GACGAACGCUGGCGGCGUGCCUAAUACAUGCAAGUUGAGCGCUGAAGGUUGGUACUUGUACCAACUGGAUGAGCAGCGAACGGGGGAGUAACGCGUGGUGAAUCUGCCUUUGAGCGGGGGACAACAUGUGGAAACGAAUGCUAAUACCGCAUAAAAACUUUAAACACAAGUUUAAAGUUUGAAAGAUGCAAUUGCAUCACUCAAAGAUGAUCCCGCGUUGUAUUAGCUAGUUGGUGAGGUAAAGGCUCACCAAGGCGAUGAUACAUAGCCGACCUGAGAGGGUGAUCGGCCACAUUGGGACUGAGACACGGCCCAAACUCCUACGGGAGGCAGCAGGAGGGAAUCAUCGGCAAUGGACGAAAGUCUGAACGAGCAACGCCGGGUGAGGGAAGAAGGUUUUCGGAUCGUAAAACUCUGUUGGUAGAGAAGAACGUUGGUGAGAGUGGAAAGCUCAUCAAGUGACGGUAACUACACAGAAAGCGACGGCUAACUACGUG
Molecule: ribosomal RNA, 497 nt
Filed under: uncultured bacterium
Lineage: Bacteria
Description: partial 16S ribosomal RNA
Rfam family: Bacterial small subunit ribosomal RNA
Source: RNAcentral